UGGGGAAUAUUGCACAAUGGGGGAAACCCUGAUGCAGCGACGCCGCGUGAACGAAGAAGGUAUUCGUAUCGUAAAGUUCUGUCCUAUGGGAAGAUAAUGACAGUACCAUAGAAGAAAGCUCCGGCUAAAUACGUGCCAGCAGCCGCGGUAAUACGUAUGGAGCGAGCGUUGUCCGGAAUUAUUGGGCGUAAAGGGUACGCAGGCGGUUUAAUAAGUCGAAUGUUAAAGAUCGGGGCUCAACCCCGCAAAGCAUUGGAAACUGAUAAACUUGAGUAGCGGAGAAGAAAGUGGAAUUCCUAGUGUAGUGGUGAAAUACGUAGAUAUUAGGAGGAAUACCAGUAGCGAAGGCGACUUUCUGGACACAAACUGACGCUGAGGUACGAAAGCGUGGGGAGCAAACAGG
This 403-nucleotide ribosomal RNA is filed under the name bacterium. RNAcentral describes it as "partial 16S ribosomal RNA". It matches the Rfam family "Bacterial small subunit ribosomal RNA", at positions 355 to 776 of the family's 1533-position model. The record is from RNAcentral.